UUAUAAGAGACAGCAGUAGCCACGGGAAUACGGAGGGUGCAAGCGUUAUCCGGAUUUAUUGGGUUUAAAGGGUCCGUAGGCGGAUCUGUAAGUCAGUGGUGAAAGCCCAUCGCUCAACGGUGGAACGGCCAUUGAUACUGCAGGACUUGAAUUAUUGGGAAGUAACUAGAAUAUGUAGUGUAGCGGUGAAAUGCUUAGAGAUUACAUGGAAUACCAAUUGCGAAGGCAGGUUACUACCAAUUGAUUGACGCUGAUGGACGAAAGCGUGGGUAGCGAACAGGAUUAGAUACCCCCGUAGUCCCUGUCUCUUAUAC
RNAcentral lists this ribosomal RNA (314 nucleotides) under uncultured bacterium. RNAcentral describes it as "partial 16S ribosomal RNA". It matches the Rfam family "Bacterial small subunit ribosomal RNA", at positions 499 to 807 of the family's 1533-position model. The record is from RNAcentral.